GACGAACGCUGGCGGCGUGCUUAACACAUGCAAGUCGAACGGAAAGGCCCUGCUUUUGUGGGGUGCUCGAGUGGCGAACGGGUGAGUAACACGUGAGUAACCUGCCCUUGACUUUGGGAUAACUUCAGGAAACUGGGGCUAAUACCGGAUAGGGGCCCCUGCUGCAUGGUGGGGGUUGGAAAGUUUCGGCGGUUGGGGAUGGACUCGCGGCUUAUCAGCUUGUUGGUGGGGUAGUGGCUUACCAAGGCUUUGACGGGUAGCCGGCCUGAGAGGGUGACCGGCCACAUUGGGACUGAGAUACGGCCCAGACUCCUACGGGAGGCAGCAGUGGGGAAUAUUGCACAAUGGGCGGAAGCCUGAUGCAGCAACGCCGCGUGCGGGAUGACGGCCUUCGGGUUGUAAACCGCUUUCGCCUGUGACGAAGCGUGAGUGACGGUAAUGGGUAAAGAAGCACCGGCUAACUACGUG
This 468-nucleotide ribosomal RNA is filed under the name uncultured bacterium. RNAcentral describes it as "partial 16S ribosomal RNA". It matches the Rfam family "Bacterial small subunit ribosomal RNA", at positions 28 to 507 of the family's 1533-position model. The record is from RNAcentral.